This 1538-nucleotide ribosomal RNA is filed under the name Staphylococcus pseudintermedius. RNAcentral describes it as "bacterial SSU rRNA". It matches the Rfam family "Bacterial small subunit ribosomal RNA". Lineage: Bacteria; Bacillati; Bacillota; Bacilli; Caryophanales; Staphylococcaceae. The record is from RNAcentral.
UUUAUGGAGAGUUUGAUCCUGGCUCAGGAUGAACGCUGGCGGCGUGCCUAAUACAUGCAAGUCGAGCGAACAGAUAAGGAGCUUGCUCCUUUGACGUUAGCGGCGGACGGGUGAGUAACACGUGGGUAACCUACCUAUAAGACUGGAAUAACUCCGGGAAACCGGGGCUAAUGCCGGAUAACAUGUUGAACCGCAUGGUUCUACAGUGAAAGACGGUCUUGCUGUCACUUAUAGAUGGACCCGCGCCGUAUUAGCUAGUUGGUGGGGUAACGGCCUACCAAGGCGACGAUACGUAGCCGACCUGAGAGGGUGAUCGGCCACACUGGAACUGAGACACGGUCCAGACUCCUACGGGAGGCAGCAGUAGGGAAUCUUCCGCAAUGGGCGAAAGCCUGACGGAGCAACGCCGCGUGAGUGAUGAAGGUCUUCGGAUCGUAAAGCUCUGUUGUUAGGGAAGAACAAAUGUGUAAGUAACUGUGCACAUCUUGACGGUACCUAACCAGAAAGCCACGGCUAACUACGUGUCCGCGGUAAUACGUAGGUGGCAAGCGUUAUCCGGAAUUAUUGGGCGUAAAGCGCGCGUAGGCGGUUUUUUAAGUCUGAUGUGAAAGCCCACGGCUCAACCGUGGAGGGUCAUUGGAAACUGGAAAACUUGAGUGCAGAAGAGGAAAGUGGAAUUCCAUGUGUAGCGGUGAAAUGCGCAGAGAUAUGGAGGAACACCAGUGGCGGCUUUCUGGUCUGCAACUGACGCUGAUGUGCGAAAGCGUGGGGAUCAAACAGGAUUAGAUACCCUGGUAGUCCACGCCGUAAACGAUGAGUGCUAAGUGUUAGGGGGUUUCCGCCCCUUAGUGCUGCAGCUAACGCAUUAAGCACUCCGCCUGGGGAGUACGGUCGCAAGACUGAAACUCAAAGGAAUUGACGGGGACCCGCACAAGCGGUGGAGCAUGUGGUUUAAUUCGAAGCAACGCGAAGAACCUUACCAAAUCUUGACAUCCUUAUAUUCUGAAGAGAAUACGUUUUCCCUUCGGGGACGCAAUGACAGGUGGUGCAUGGUCGUCGUCAGCUCGUGUCGUGAGAUGUUGGGUUAAGUCCCGCAACGAGCGCAACCCUUGAACUUAGUUGCCAUCAUUCAGUUGGGCACUCUAAGUUGACUGCCGGUGACAAACCGGAGGAAGGUGGGGAUGACGUCAAAUCAUCAUGCCCUUAUGAUUUGGGCUACACACGUGCUACAAUGGACAAUACAAAGGGCAGCGAAACCGCGAGGUCAAGCAAAUCCCAUAAAGUUGUUCUCAGUUCGGAUUGUAGUCUGCAACUCGACUACAUGAAGCUGGAAUCGCUAGUAAUCGUAGAUCAGCAUGCUACGGUGAAUACGUUCCCGGGUCUUGUACACACCGCCCGUCACACCACGAGAGUUUGUAACACCCGAAGCCGGUGGAGUAACCAUUUUGGAGCUAGCCGUCGAAGGUGGGACAAAUGAUUGGGGUGAAGUCGUAACAAGGUAGCCGUAUCGGAAGGUGCGGCUGGAUCACCUCCUUUCU